GACGAACGCUGGCGGCGUGCUUAAUACAUGCAAGUCGAACGGAAAGGCCCUGCUUUUGUUGCGUGCUCGUGUGGCGAACGGGUGAGUGACACGCGUGUAACCUGCCCUUGUAUUUGGGAUAACAUCAGGAAACUGGGGCUAAUAUCGGAUAGGAGCUCCUGAUGCAUGGUGGUGGAUGGAAAGAUUCGGCGGUUGUGGAUGGACUCGAGGCUUAUGCGCUUGUUGGUCGGGUAGUGGCUUACCAGGGCUACGACGGGUAGGCCGCGUGAGAGGGUGACCGGCCACCAGGGUACUAAGGGAGGGCCCAGAAGCCUACGGGAGGCAGCAGUGGGGAAUAUUGCGGAACAGGGGGGAGCCUGAUACAGCAACCCCGCGAGCGGGAUAACGGCCUACUAGGGGUAAACAGCUUUCUCCGUAAACGAGCCGGUAGUGACGGUAAUUAGUAAGGAAGCAACGGCUAACUACGUG
This 468-nucleotide ribosomal RNA is filed under the name uncultured bacterium. RNAcentral describes it as "partial 16S ribosomal RNA". It matches the Rfam family "Bacterial small subunit ribosomal RNA", at positions 28 to 507 of the family's 1533-position model. The record is from RNAcentral.